UGGGGAAUAUUGCACAAUGGGCGAAAGCCUGAUGCAGCAACGCCGCGUGAGCGAUGAAGGCCUUCGGGUCGUAAAGCUCUGUCCUCAAGGAAGAUAAUGACGGUACUUGAGGAGGAAGCCCCGGCUAACUACGUGCCAGCAGCCGCGGUAAUACGUAGGGGGCUAGCGUUAUCCGGAAUUACUGGGCGUAAAGGGUGCGUAGGUGGUUUCUUAAGUCAGAGGUGAAAGGCUACGGCUCAACCGUAGUAAGCCUUUGAAACUGGGAAACUUGAGUGCAGGAGAGGAGAGUGGAAUUCCUAGUGUAGCGGUGAAAUGCGUAGAUAUUAGGAGGAACACCAGUUGCGAAGGCGGCUCUCUGGACUGUAACUGACACUGAGGCACGAAAGCGUGGGGAGCAAACAGG
Molecule: ribosomal RNA, 403 nt
Filed under: bacterium
Lineage: Bacteria
Also listed under: 6 other names
Description: partial 16S ribosomal RNA
Rfam family: Bacterial small subunit ribosomal RNA
Source: RNAcentral